This 253-nucleotide ribosomal RNA is filed under the name uncultured bacterium. Its description in RNAcentral is "partial 16S ribosomal RNA". It matches the Rfam family "Bacterial small subunit ribosomal RNA", at positions 524 to 776 of the family's 1533-position model. The record is from RNAcentral.
UACGGAGGGUGCAAGCGUUAUCCGGAUUCACUGGGUUUAAAGGGUGCGUAGGUGGGCAGGUAAGUCAGUGGUGAAGUCUCCGGGCUUAACUCGGAAACUGCCAUUGAUACUAUCUUUCUUGAAUACCGUGGAGGUCAGCGGAAUAUGUCAUGUAGCGGUGAAAUGCUUAGAUAUGACAUAGAACACCAAUUGCGAAGGCAGCUGGCUACACGAAUAUUGACACUGAUGCACGAAAGCGUGGGGAUCAAACAGG